AACGAACGCUGGCGGUAUGCUUUACACAUGCAAGUCGAACGAAUUGUUGGUAGCUUGCUAUCAACAGUUAGUGGCAAACGGGUGAGUAACGCGUGGGAACCUACCUUGUAGUACGGAAUAGCCAUUGGAAACGAUGAUUAAUACCGUAUACGCUCUACAGAGGAAAGAUUUAUCGCUAUAAGAUGGGCCCGCGUUGGAUUAGUUGUUGGUGGGGUAAUGGCCUACCAAGACUACGAUCUAUAACUGGUUUGAGAGGAUGAUCAGUCACACUGGAACUGAGACACGGUCCAGACUCCUACGGGGAGGCAGCAGUGGGGGGAAUAUUGGACAAUGGGCGAAAGCCUGAUCCAGCAAUACCGCGUGAGUGAUGAAGGCCCUAGGGUUGUAAAGCUCUUUCAAUAGGGAAGAUAAUGACGGUACCUAUAGAAGAAGCACCGGCUAAAC
This 444-nucleotide ribosomal RNA is filed under the name uncultured bacterium. RNAcentral's name for it is "bacterial SSU rRNA". It matches the Rfam family "Bacterial small subunit ribosomal RNA", at positions 29 to 502 of the family's 1533-position model. The record is from RNAcentral.